Dipodomys spectabilis (banner-tailed kangaroo rat) is the source of this 113-nucleotide long non-coding RNA. RefSeq lists it as uncharacterized. NCBI's taxonomy places the organism in Eukaryota, Metazoa, Chordata, Mammalia, Rodentia, Heteromyidae. The transcript is spliced from 2 exons. The record is from RefSeq and is a predicted model, not a curated record.
GUGACUUAUGCCUGUAAUCCUAGCUACUCAGGAGGCUCAGACCUGAAGAAUUGUGGUAUGAAGCCAGCUAGAGCAGAAAAGUUGGAGAGACUCCAUUUUCAAUUAACCAGCAA